UUUUCAUCAUCGAUUAGUUUAAAACCUUCAUUUAUUGGCAUUUCGUAAACAUCAGACCACAGAGAAUAGAGAAAUACACCAAAUUUCAGCUGUAAUACCAGGAAAAAUUUAACUAUGACCAGCCACAAUAUUAUACUUAUUAAAAGGAUCUUCUGAUGAGUUGCCACCCCUUGCAAUCCUUAUAAAACGGGUAAAUUUCCUUUUUAAAAGCUAAAAGUUGGUUAAAUUUCUGAAAGAUUCAAGUUUCCAUGUCAAUCAGCUGAUUAAUUAUUGCGAACAGAUUUCCAGACUCACUAUAAAUAUACUUUUCUUUCACUUCAACUUUUAAAUCCUUGAAGGUGCUCUAAUGCAAUUUAAAAUAAUCAUAGUUUAGUAUUUUACUUAAAUUUUAGUGUAGAUUCACAUUGAUAAUGUUACUCAAAUUAUAAUUUGUCAAAAAUCAGUCUUUAUUUGUUGGAAAUUGUUGAUAGAAGUCGCAUUCCUACGUGAUGCAUCGUUCUUCUGAGUGUUAUGUUUUUCAUAAAAUACAUGACUAAUAUACAAUGAGCGCUAUUGAAAUCAGACGAAUUUGGGUUGGUAGUUGAAAAAUUGUUAAAGAGGUGCUUUAAGCCUUCAUUUCGUUAUCAUUCCUCACACCGUUUCAUGAAACAUUACAAAUUCAUUUACGAUUCAAAUUUAAAAUCCUUGUUGAGCCAAUGAAUUCUAGAUGUAAAUGUUUCCAUUUCAUAGUUUAAUUUCGUGGUUUUUAAUGAUAAUUUCAGACAUUACACAUUAAAAAAAGGAUUCAAGAGAAUCCAACAGAUGAGUAUGAAUAAAAAAACAACGCAACCUUACUUUUUGUUAAGUGUUCUUCCUUGUGAAUAAACUAGUUAAUAAUUUCCCAAAGAUUAAUGUGCCUAACAAUGUCAAGUGAUAUUAUCUAGUCUAAGAGUUGAAGAUUGCAUUGUAAAAUUUCCAGAAGCUUGUCAUUAGUAGAAUAUGUUAUCGUUGUAACUGGUUAGUACCUGGAUUUUCAACGAAUUUCACUGAUGUGUUCCAAAAAAUAUUGAAUUACCACUAUUGUCAAGUUGAAUGUAAGUAUUUAAUAAAAUUGUUUCUCUUGGAUUAUAUUAUAUGUAAGUUGUUAUUUAUUCCUUCUUGAAUCAUAAUAUUUAUGAGAUGAAUACAUUAUAUAAAGCAUUAGAAAUACAAACUAGAUAGUCUUGGAAUUUCGCAUAAAGAUACUUAAUUCACUGAGAUUGGUUGGUAGUUGUUUUAUUAAUCAAUUCCAAUUUUAAUGAAUAAAACUAAUUUAUUUAGUUUAUCUAAUUUGUGGUUUCUCAAGAUCAAUUACUCUUUAAUCCCAUAAUCUAUGGGAAAUCUAAAGAACCGUUCCUAUAGGAAAUCUUACUGUCUGAAAAGGCUCCUUUGCAAAAUUGAGCAUACAGUAACUAUUCAAAAGUUAUUGAGGUAACAUUGUUAAGAAGCACACUAUUGGAUCAGUUACAAUUAUUUUUUGAAGCUUCAUAACUCCUCAAUCUGGAGGUUUUUGGACAGUUGAAAGUCAAUUUAUUUCAGUAAAUUUGAUUUUCUACAAAAUUGCUCCUUAUAUAAAUUCGUCUACAAUCAACAGUUGAAAAGCUACGGUAUAGUGGAAAAACUGCUGAGAAAUUCAUUGUUGACUUGGCUUCCAAUACUUUUGUCUUUAUAACUCCUUAUUUCUCAAUUUAUAAGCAUUAAAAAUACAUAAAACUAUAUUAAAUUUUGUUGUCUUCAAUAGAUGUCAUAAGCAAUAUUGCGAUAUGCUGGACCGUUCAGAAGUUAUGGGGGAAAUACUGGAGCAUUCACCCAACAAUCUCUGAAGCUGUCUGCCAUGAAACAUGAAAUAGGACAGAUUAUUGGUGGAAACAUGUCAGAGUUACCGCCGUGAAGUUGGCCCCAGCAUAUCAAGCCCAUUUUUUUUUUUUUUUUUUGGUGGUGCUUUUCUAGUGAAAUCUGCUUUCAGAGCUAAUCACAGCUUUUCGUAAAAAUUGGUGUUUGUUUCAGUUUUUCAGCAAUAACUCCUAAACGCUUCAUCCGAGCUCGAUUUUGCACAUGUCCAUUUUGAAAGACAACAAAUUUUUCUAUAAAGUUAACUAACUAUAAUAAUAAAACCAUGAAAAAUUAAGAAGUUAUGGUGCUUCAAAAGCAGAUGGAACGCAUACAGUACUAUCGACUUAUCUAUUUGUAUAUAUUCAUCAAUAACUUAUGAACAGUUCAUUGCAGCUUGAUUUUGCAUAGGCAAUUUUUCAAAUAAAACUAAAUUUACUAUAGUAUCUUGUGAUUAAAUUGUACAAAAACCUUGUUAGUAAAAAGUUACAGAGCUUCAAGAACAGGAGAACCGCAUAAUUUUUAAAUCCUCUUUAGUAUUCUCUGUCUGUAUCUUCUGAACAGUUGAUAAGAGGUGAUUUACUAGUUAUCAGCUUGAAGAGAAAAAGAUUCUACAAAAUCAUGCGAUUAGAUUACCAAUGAGCUUAGAUGAUAAUAAGGGGUUAUGGAGCAUUAAAAUCGGGAAAAUCCAUGUGAACAUGUGUUCUUCUGUAGUAUUUCAUCAAUAACUUCUAAACGGUUGAUCAUAGCACAAAUUUUAAUGGGACAUUAUUCUUAGAGGAGAAAAUUAUCCUCAAUAACUUUUAAAUGCUAAAUCAUAGCGCAAUUUUGAAAAGGACAAUUUGUGAAUACAACUAAUUUUUCAAUAAGACGAUAUAAGAAAUUCAAUCAUAAGUUGAUUUUGUAAAUUGUAGUUGUUAUUUAAAAACUAAUAACGCUGUUGAUUUUAUUGUCAUAGAUGAUUUUAAAAUGUUCCCUGCAUUGUGCUGCCCAUAGGCGAUAGCGGCCAGUUUAUGAACUAUUGCCACUUCACAGCUGUGCUGUGAGAUGACAGAUGACAGAUAACCGUCGCCAUUUUGACUCUUGACUUGUUUGUCUUUGUACUAGACUAGACUGUUCACGUCCACAAACCAUAGAUAAUUAUUAAAUAAAUAUCAAAGUUUAAACUUUUUUUAUAUCUUCUAUCAAAAUUGCUCCAGCUCUAUCAACGGUAAAAAUUGUGUAAUCGUCGAAUAAUUGCAGAAUGUGUAGUCUUUUCAUCAAUAAAGAUUGGGUCAUAACAUAACCAUUCAAUCGGAAUAGUAACUUGAGAUUUUGUGCGACAAUACUCAUUGUAUUUGAAACGGAACAAGCUGAUUCAUCUCUUCAUGCAACAUACAAGUGUCCACAUCUAACAAUUCUGGUUUCAAAAGUUGAUCAAUGACUAAAAG
RNAcentral lists this long non-coding RNA (3278 nucleotides) under Nilaparvata lugens (brown planthopper). RNAcentral's name for it is "uncharacterized LOC120355235". The record is from RNAcentral. Lineage: Eukaryota; Metazoa; Arthropoda; Insecta; Hemiptera; Delphacidae.